UGGGACUGAAAGUUCCGGGUAAUUUUGGUGGAAACGCGGCUAUAGCUUUACAUAUGAUUCUGAUUCUGAUUCUGAAGACUAUACAUCAUGCUGCAUUACAUACAAUAUUCCCAAUGGAAUACAGACGGUAAGACAUUGAUGUUUAUUAAAUUAUUCUUCAUUAUUCAAUAAUGUUGAUGUGAUGUGAUUGGGAAAAAUACAGUUUUGCAGAAGUUACAUGAAUGGAGUUCACUGCAAUUCUAUUUCAUCAGUUUGUUUCUGAAGAAAAAACACAUUUCAUUGCAUUCUACUGUUCGAGUAAUAGAAUGAAGGUCUCCCAUACGCUACUUAUUUGUUUCAUUAUAUUGGCCUAAUGUGUCUCAGCAUCUUGUCUAUUAUUAUUCUGAGUGCAGUAGUAUGUUUGUGUUGGUCAGCUCUCCCAUGUAAAAACUCAGAUUUUUUUUACCUUUAUAUCUCCUCCAUUUCGAAACCAAUCUCAAUGCCAAUUCGCAUUCAUGGUACAAUCACCAUGAACUUGCCAACUACUGAUUUUGGUAAUAGAUACGUUACACCAUUACUAUGUUGUGGAUUAAAUUUGAAUGAGACAAAAUGUCCAUAGACUUAACAUGGGGAGACUAACUUGCAAACUCCGGCUAGCUUCUCCAAGUGUGUAUAAUUUAGUCAUUCUAAAGUUCUAAAUGAGCAUUACUGUAGAUGAGAACAGCAGGACAGUGUUAUGUCCAUAGAUGUUGUCACAGGCAGGCAGGCAGGCAGGCAGCAGCAGAUACUCACAUCGACAGUAGCCAUUCGCACUGACUUGCCUAAGUGACAAUCACUUCAUUUGUGAUAAAGUGUCGGAUCGAGUAAAGUGAGGGCAGCCAAAAGAGACCAGCUAGGUCGGGAGAAAAACACCAAAAACUUAGCUAGUGCAAUCCGGGUUGGUCUAUUCUGAGUUGCACUCCAUCUUCAGGGGCGUGCAAUUUAGCUAAUCGCUAAUAGUGACAGCAGGAGCCAGUCACUCAGUCACACACUGACUCUGUCAGACAUGGAUCCAGUAAAGCAAGGGUGAAACCACCAUGGUGCUAUACUGCAUAUGUUUUUGAAAAAUAUAUAAUGUAAGCAUUUGAUAAACUACCAAUGCAUGUUUUAGGAUUAUGUUUUGAAUUUUAUAUGGUAAUAAUUUCCAGGGAUGGUUUAGUCAUAAUAAUACCGAGUUUUACUAAUUAAACCUCCCAGUGCAAAGCCUAAGGAAAUUAAUCACAAAAAGCUAUGUUUUCACUUUAAUGUUUGCAUUUGCCGAAACCCUCAAAAGACAGGAAAUUAAAUUGAUCAGCCCUAACGAUACAGAGGUUAGUAUGCAAUAAACAUCCCGAUGCAGGGGUCAUUAUAAAAUCAUAUCUUGAUACAAAUGAGAAUUUUAAUAUUUAAUUGAAUAGUCAUUUGGUAGUGCGAAUGCAUGAAUUUCAUGAAAUGGAAUGUAUAGAAACUAUAAACAAGACAGAAACCACUGUUUCGAUACAUGCAUCUUCAAAAGUGAACUUAUAUAUUUCUGAGUGCAACCGAGAUUAGGCUCAGUCUUUCCCAAAUUUCCUAUUUCCUGUUUCCCUGUUUCCCUCAGUAAAAACCGGCAAAUUAAAUUAAAUUGAAACUUAAAUUGAACAUCCACACAUAUGUAUAUAUACAUGCACAGUUUCUCUUUUCCCUGUGUGUUACAUUCUGUGUUCAGGAGGCCCAUCCCAACCCAGGAAAGCCCUUUACUGGAAUCAAUACACAGGCCUGGUUACCAAAAAGCCAACAGGGUCAGGAGGUGCUGAAGCUGCUGGAAAGAGCCUUUGACCAGAAGCUGGUUUUUACUGUGGCUGCAACCGAUGGCGCUGAAGACAGAGUCGCCUUCACUGACAUCCCCCGUGCAAGAAACUCGAGUGAGUGCAGAAAGCCUGGUUUCCUGCAGGAAGUGAAGGCGGCGCUCAGAGCCAAAUUCAUUGAAUGAUUGGAUGAACAGAGACGUCAGAUCCUCAGCACAGCACCACCAAAUGGACAAGAAGAGAAACACUCUGAAGAUCACCACAUUUCAAAGAUGGACACGCAAUAGAUAGACAUUAGAAACGGAGAGGAACCAGCCAGUUGACCCUUGCCGUUUAUGAAGUCAGAAAGCAGAAUGAUAACUGAAGAUAGUGGCAGGUCACUGCUUUAGAAACACAUAUGUGAUAAAUCUACUCAAUCCUGAUGGAUCUAAUUCUGCUGACUCUCUCAUAGACUC
Long non-coding RNA from Anguilla anguilla (European eel), 2239 nucleotides. RefSeq lists it as uncharacterized. The record is from RefSeq and is a predicted model, not a curated record. NCBI's taxonomy places the organism in Eukaryota, Metazoa, Chordata, Actinopteri, Anguilliformes, Anguillidae. The transcript has 2 exons.